GACUAAGCAGAAGAAUGCAGCCCACACCCCUGAAGUCCAUCACCCAUAAAUAGUUCAAUCUACAGCUGCUUCUGAAGCAGACAGCAUUUGGAUGCCAUCAUUUGCCCUGCUAUCCCAGGGCAGGUGCAUCAUCUUUGUGGUCAAGGGGUGGCCCGUGUGUAAUGCUGUUACCUAACAUUGUUUAUUAACUCCUAAAACAUUGUGAGGAAUGGUUAAAGUCUUGUGACCAAAUUCAAUCUUGAAAGCAGUGUAGUGACAUAGCAGCCUUUGCAGGUGUUUUCCCUGGAGUGUGGAGUAACCACACGCCAUUCCCAGCACAUCCAGGAUGUGGCCUGUAGAGGACCGAAGGGCCAGAUGGACAUAACAAGGUUCAACUCUCUGACCCCAUUCAACACCAUAGGACUUGACUUUUUGUUCUAAGAAAUAGAUCAUUAAC
Molecule: non-coding RNA, 436 nt
Organism: Peromyscus maniculatus bairdii (prairie deer mouse)
Lineage: Eukaryota; Metazoa; Chordata; Mammalia; Rodentia; Cricetidae
Source: RefSeq, a predicted model, not a curated record